This 2520-nucleotide long non-coding RNA is filed under the name Homo sapiens (human). RNAcentral describes it as "HSALNT0089228". The record is from RNAcentral. Lineage: Eukaryota; Metazoa; Chordata; Mammalia; Primates; Hominidae.
CUCUGUUCUAGUUCUAAGCAUGCAAAUAAAUUUUAAGCAGGAUUUCUUAGCCUGCAGGAGCUGAGGAUGAUUAAUAAGUCCUGCUGUUAUGCAUAAAUGCACUGACCUAUACUGUGCCCUUCAGUCAAAUUGUAUAUUGUUUAAUCGUGAUAAAUGAAGUGCACCAGGCACAGAUAAGCUAGUCCCUGGAGUAUGUCCAGAUACACCUGAAAGAAGAAUGACUCAAGCUGGGUGUGUAAAGCUACACUUUGGAGGAUAGAGCUUCCCACAGGUGCAAUGGAACUCUCACUUCUCACUUGCUCAGAAAUUAUGAUCUGCAGUGUGAGUCUCCCCUGGUAAGGAAACGUGUCCAGCUCCUUGAAACAUGUUCUAGAGAACAGCAUUCAUUACCCUCCCAUGAACUUAAACAUGCUUCUUGGCUCCUGUGCAUUUUAGGUGUUGAAAUUUCCAGGAUGCAAAACGAAGGGGCAAUUCAAAACAUUCAUCUCCACUUCUCAAAAGUCUUUGAUUACUUGAGAAAAGUGAGUGAGGUGGGGCCAAGAUGGUUGACUAGAAGCAGCUAGUGUGUGCCACUCUCACAAAUAGCAGAAAGAGUGGUGAGACACUAGCUCUUCAACCGGAACAUCCAGGUGGACACAUAAGGAUUCAUCAGUGACAUAGUGUGACCUUCGGAUCACGGAGAAGAGUGAGACAGAUCAACCAUUCACCCAGGAGUGGCACAGACCCAGGGGAAUCCCCCUACAAGAAAAUGGUGAGUGAGUGAGAGUCCCGUGGGAUGCAUAUUUCUGCCACGAACCUUUGAAUCCCUGGGCUCAGGAGAUACCCCAGCUGGGGUCUCCAGACCAAAACAGAGAGCCAUGUGGAGUCUGGGUAGAGCUGCUUCUUAGGUAGGUGUGGAGUCCCAGUAGCAUUUGUUCCCUGGGUACCCCAAAACCAGGGGCUGCAGCUCCAGCAAUUGGGAAGGCCAAGUUUUCUUGCACGCUCCCCAGAAAAGGGGCCAAGUCCAUGGGGCUGAGCAGUGAUAGACUGCAGACCUCACCACCACUGAACCUUGUAGGAUAAGGCCCACUAGCCUGGGAUGCUAGUGAGGCCACCCUAGUCCUCCUGAGUUCUCCAGCUGGGAGCAGCUCUACACUUCUCCGGCAUGCAGCUUCCAAAGAGAGAGGCAGUCCACCUUUUUGCUGUCUCGCAACCCUCCCUCCUGCUGCUCUCAGGCUUGGGAGGGUGCACAGCAAUUAGGGACUAUCACAGAACCCCAGCACAGUGCAUCUGGUGAACUUAAAAAAAUCAACAAGUGAAAAACAAACAAUCCCAUUUAAACGUACACAAAGUACAUGAACGGACACUUUCAAAGGAGGGCAUACAUGUGGCCAGAAAGCAUAUGACAAAAUGCUCAACAUCACUAAUCAUUAGAGAAAUGCAAAUCAAAACCACAAUGAGAUACCAUCUCACACCAAUGAGAAUGGCUAUUAUUAAAAACUCAAAAAAUAAGAGAUGCUAGUGAGGUUGUGGAGAAAAGGGAAUGAUUAUACAGUGAUGGUGGGAAUGUAAGGUAGUUCAGCCAUUGUGGAAAGCAGUGUGGCCAUUUCUCAAAGAACUCAAAGCAGAAGUGCCAUUCAACUCAUCAAUCCUACUGUUGAGUAUAUACCAAAAGAAAUACAAAUCAUUCUACCAUAAAGACACAUGCACGUGUAUGUUCAUUGCAGCACUUUUCACAAUAGCAAAGACAUGGAAUCAACCUAAAUGCCCAUCAGUGGUAGACUGGAUGAAGAAAUGUGGUAGAUAUACAACAUGGAAUACUAUGCAGCCAUAAAAAGAAUGAGAUCAUCUCUUUUCCAGCAACAUGAGUGGAGCUGGAGGCCAUUAUCCUAGAAAACCCAAUACCAUAUGUUCUCACUUAUAAGGGGAGCUAAACAUUGAGUACAUAUGGACACAAAUGGAACAACAGACACUGGGCCUACUUUAGAGUGGAGGGAGGAAGGAGGAUGAAAAUUUAAAAAUUACCUACUGGGUACUAUGCUUAUUAUCUGGGUUAUGAAAUAAUCUAUACACCAAACCCCGUGACACACAAUUUACCUAUAUAAAUGCGUAAGUAACCCACAUGUGUACCCCUGAACCUAAAAUAAAAGUUAAAAAAAGAGAAAAGUAAAUGUUCUCAGUAUUAAAAAGCUAUGUUUUUGUUGACAAUUAUGUAAAUUUCUACAUUUAUUUUUUGAAAUCUUUUAAUUUUCAUUUUGGUUACCUGUUAUCGUACUCUGAUAAAGUGUUUUAAACUGUUUGAUGUUUUUGACAAACUUCCCAAAAUAAUAUUUUAAAUUAACUCUUUUUGCCCUCAAGUUAAUUUUGAUAUUUCUCAUUUGGACCCCUGGAAAGAUCAAAGAAUGUGUAUCUCACAUUGUAAAGAGAUAUAUUAAACUAAUGAGACUUACUUGAUAUAUUAAAUUAUAUAGGGAGUAUUGUCAAAUACUAAGUGGUGCUAAACCUUCUUUAAGUUGUAUUUCAGAAUGUUAUUGAUAUGUG